GACGAACCGUGCGAACGUUGUUCGGAAUCACUGGGCUUAAAGGGCGCGUAGGCGGCUGUUCAAGUCCGGGGUGAAAUUUUUCGGCCUAACCGGAAAAGGGCCUCGGAUACUGGAUGGCUCGAGGGGGGCAGGGGCAGUUGGAACUUCCGGUGGAGCGGUGAAAUGCGUUGAUAUCGGAAGGAACGCCGGUGGCGAAAGCGAACUGCUGGACCCUUACUGACGCUGAGGCGCGAAAGCCAGGGGAGCAAACGGG
This 253-nucleotide ribosomal RNA is filed under the name uncultured bacterium. Its description in RNAcentral is "partial 16S ribosomal RNA". It matches the Rfam family "Bacterial small subunit ribosomal RNA", at positions 524 to 776 of the family's 1533-position model. The record is from RNAcentral.